AGUGAACGCUGGCGGUAGGCCUAACACAUGCAAGUCGAACGGCAGCACAGUAAGAGCUUGCUCUUACGGGUGGCGAGUGGCGGACGGGUGAGGAAUACAUCGGAAUCUACUUUUUCGUGGGGGAUAACGUAGGGAAACUUACGCUAAUACCGCAUACGACCUACGGGUGAAAGCAAGGGAUCUUCGGACCUUGCGCGAUUGAAUGAGCCGAUGUCGGAUUAGCUAGUUGGCGGGGUAAAGGCCCACCAAGGCGACGAUCCGUAGCUGGUCUGAGAGGAUGAUCAGCCACACUGGAACUGAGACACGGUCCAGACUCCUACGGGAGGCAGCAGUGGGGAAUAUUGGACAAUGGGCGCAAGCCUGAUCCAGCCAUACCGCGUGGGUGAAGAAGGCCUUCGGGUUGUAAAGCCCUUUUGUUGGGAAAGAAAAGCAGCAGGUUAAUACCCCGCUGUUCUGACGGUACCCAAAGAAUAAGCACCGGCUAACUUCGU
RNAcentral lists this ribosomal RNA (491 nucleotides) under uncultured bacterium. Its description in RNAcentral is "partial 16S ribosomal RNA". It matches the Rfam family "Bacterial small subunit ribosomal RNA", at positions 29 to 506 of the family's 1533-position model. The record is from RNAcentral.